GCUUUAAUAAUAAUAUUUCAUCCUACAUGUUCUUUUUCAGCGUGAAUUGACUUUGCUCCGUCGGAAAGGAGGUCAGUGUUCUCUCCCCUUGAACCUUAACAGAUUUUAUGAACAGUCUCAAUCACCAGAACACCGUGAGUGUACAGGAACUGAAACUCCCACCUGACUCUUGGAUGGCUCACAUUAGGGAAGCCAUGGUGAUACAUUUAGGCCCACAGAGAAGCACUGAUGCCUCCAGCCAAGAGCCAGCACCAUAUUUCCAGAGGCUGAGAGAAGGCUGCCAUCCCAACCAGCGUACUUAGCUAUAAGGACCAGUUCUUUCACUGAAAAGACAUAAAAAUAGUGAGCAGUCUGUGAAACACUAGCCUCUGAGAAUCUAUUAAAAACUCCAGCAGUAUUCUCUA
Molecule: long non-coding RNA, 404 nt
Filed under: Fukomys damarensis (Damara mole-rat)
Lineage: Eukaryota; Metazoa; Chordata; Mammalia; Rodentia; Bathyergidae
Description: lncRNA (ENSFDAG00000029385.1)
Source: RNAcentral